RNAcentral lists this transfer RNA (104 nucleotides) under Kazachstania africana CBS 2517. It matches the Rfam family "tRNA". Rfam says of the family: Transfer RNA (tRNA) molecules are approximately 80 nucleotides in length. Their secondary structure includes four short double-helical elements and three loops (D, anti-codon, and T loops). Further hydrogen bonds mediate the characteristic L-shaped molecular structure. tRNAs have two regions of fundamental functional importance: the anti-codon, which is responsible for specific mRNA codon recognition, and the 3' end, to which the tRNAs corresponding amino acid is attached (by aminoacyl-tRNA synthetases). tRNAs cope with the degeneracy of the genetic code in two manners: having more than one tRNA (with a specific anti-codon) for a particular amino acid; and 'wobble' base-pairing, i.e. permitting non-standard base-pairing at the 3rd anti-codon position. Lineage: Eukaryota; Fungi; Ascomycota; Saccharomycetes; Saccharomycetales; Saccharomycetaceae. The record is from Rfam by way of RNAcentral.
GGGAGUUUGGCCGAGUGGUUUAAGGCGUCAGAUUUAGGUUGUAACUAAUCAAUUUAAACAUUCUGAUAUCUUCGGAUGCGUGGGUUCGAAUCCCAUAGCUCUCA